Molecule: long non-coding RNA, 238 nt
Filed under: Lathyrus oleraceus (garden pea)
Lineage: Eukaryota; Viridiplantae; Streptophyta; Magnoliopsida; Fabales; Fabaceae
Description: Pisum sativum (pea) long non-coding RNA (PSAT_LNC003120)
Source: RNAcentral
UAAUCACAGAGAAAAAGUUUUUCUCUAAUGAACAAAUUAGGAAAUCAAUAUGAUUUUGUCUCCUUACUUUUUUAUUCUUUCUUCCAUUAUACGGGGAGUGUUCCAUAUGAUUGCUUACUUCUUUCCUUAUAUGAAAUAUCAUUGAGAAAACACCAUUACUCACUCAAUUUUUUUUAAGUGUUUUAUGUGCUUUACAUCAUUAAGCUCUCUUUCAGAGUUUAAGAGGAGAAAAUACUUU